RNAcentral lists this microRNA precursor (94 nucleotides) under Pelobates cultripes (western spadefoot toad). The record is from RNAcentral. Lineage: Eukaryota; Metazoa; Chordata; Amphibia; Anura; Pelobatidae.
CUAUACACAAGCACAAUCACUGACCCACGCACAAACAUUACAUACAAUGUUUGUGUGUGGGUCAGUGAUUGUGCUUGUGUAUAGCUGUGAUUAU